GAUGAACGCUGACAGAAUGCUUAACACAUGCAAGUCGAUUCGAUUUACCUUCGGGUAUUGAGGAUGGCGGACGGGUGAGUAACGCGUAAGGAACUUGCCUCUUGGUCUGGGACAACUGUUGGAAACGACAGCUAAUACCGGAUAUUAUGAGAUUCUCGCAUGGGAAACUUAUGAAAGCUAUAUGCGCCAAGAGAGAGCCUUGCGUUCCAUUAGCUAGUUGGUGGGGUAACGGCCCACCAAGGCGACGAUGGAUAGCCGGCCUGAGAGGGUGAACGGCCACAAGGGGACUGAGACACGGCCCUUACUCCUACGGGAGGCAGCAGUGGGGAAUAUUGGACAAUGGACCAAAAGUCUGAUCCAGCAAUUCUGUGUGCACGAUGAAGGUCUUCGGAUUGUAAAGUGCUUUCAGUUGGGAAGAAGCAAGUGACGGUACCAACAGAAGAAGCGACGGCUAAAUACGUGCCAGCAGCCGCGGUAAUACGUAUGUCGCAAGCGUUAUCCGGAUUUAUUGGGCGUAAAGCGCGUCUAGGCGGAAAAAUAAGUCUGAUGUUAAAAUGCGGGGCUCAACUCCGUAUUGCGUUGGAAACUGUUUUUCUAGAGUACUGGAGAGGUGGGCGGAACUACAAGUGUAGAGGUGAAAUUCGUAGAUAUUUGUAGGAAUGCCGAUGGAGAAGUCAGCUCACUGGACAGAUACUGACGCUAAAGCGCGAAAGCGUGGGGAGCAAANAGGAUUAGAUACCCUGGUAGUCCACGCCGU
RNAcentral lists this ribosomal RNA (757 nucleotides) under uncultured prokaryote. Its description in RNAcentral is "bacterial SSU rRNA". It matches the Rfam family "Bacterial small subunit ribosomal RNA", at positions 28 to 803 of the family's 1533-position model. The record is from RNAcentral.